This 1196-nucleotide long non-coding RNA is filed under the name Sus scrofa (pig). RNAcentral's name for it is "lncRNA (ENSSSCG00015017920.1)". The record is from RNAcentral. Lineage: Eukaryota; Metazoa; Chordata; Mammalia; Artiodactyla; Suidae.
UCCAUGUCCCCCAGGUGUGCCCCUAAAAAUAAAAGUUUGGGUGCAGCCCUAAAAAAGACAAAAACAAAAACAAAACAAAAAAAACGGGAGGAAAAAAAAAAGAACUGAAAGAGUGGAGUUCCGGUUGUGGCUCAGUGUUAAGGAACCCAACUAUGAUCCAUGAGGACUCGGGUUUGAUCCAUGGCUUUGCUCAAUGGGUUAAGGAUCUGGCAUUGCUGUGAUCCGUGGUGUAGGUCGCAGACAUGGCUUGGAUCCCAAGUUGCUGUGGUAUAGGCCAGCACCUGCAGCUCUAAAUUGACCGCUAGCCCCAGGAAUUUCCUUAUGCCUGGAUGCAGCCUUAAGAAAGCAAAAAAAAUAAAAACAAAAACCCCCAAAACUGGAAGGGAUUUGAUUACUUUUAGAUAUGACAUACAGCCCUCAGCAUUGGGCCAGGACAUAGCAAGACCAGUGAUGAUCAGCUACUGUUCUUUUCAGCUUUAUUGAUAGUAUAGUUUUGUUUCAUUUUUUUACUUUUUUUUUUCAUCUUUUUAGGGCCUCACCAACGGCAUAUGGAGGUUCCCAGGCUUGGGGAUGAAUCAGAGCUGAAGCUUCUGGUCUAUACCACAGCAACUGCGAUACCUUAUCCGAGCCACGUCUGAGGCCUACAUCACAGUUCAUGCAGUACCGGAUCCUUAACCCACUGAGUAAGGCCAGGGAUCGAACCUGCCUCCUCAGGAAUGUUAGUAGAUUUGUUUCCACUGAGCCACAACAGGAACUCCUGGUAUUAUUGUUAUCAUUACUUACUCAGUCAUUUGACAUUCAAAAACCUUUUCUGUCUGCAUCUAAUAGUUCCAGUGGCAUUUUCAUUGACUUGUGUCAUUUUCAAAUGGCUUCUGCAUAUGAGGCUCCUAUCUCACGUUAUAGGCAUACUUUGCUUUGUUAUGCUUUGUAAAUACCCUGUUUUUUUUUUUUUGUUUUGUUUUUGUUUUUUUGUUUUUUGUCUUUUUGCCAUUUCUUGGGAACCUCCAUAUGCCCAAGGUAUGCCCAAAAAAUAAAAAUUUGUGACAUCCCUUGUCCAGCAAUUGUGUCAAUUGUGUCAGAUUACUAGCGUGUUUUCGGUAGCAUUUGCUUACCUCAGCUUGCCUCACUGAAGACUUAGAUGAUGGUUAGUGUUUUUUAAGCAAUAAAGUAUUUUUAGGAGUUGCCGUCGUGGUGCA